This 253-nucleotide ribosomal RNA is filed under the name uncultured bacterium. Its description in RNAcentral is "partial 16S ribosomal RNA". It matches the Rfam family "Bacterial small subunit ribosomal RNA", at positions 524 to 776 of the family's 1533-position model. The record is from RNAcentral.
UACGAAGGGGGCUAGCGUUGCUCGGAAUCACUGGGCGUAAAGCGCACGUAGGCGGAUCUUUAAGUCAGGGGUGAAACCCCAAGGCUCAACCUUGGAACUGCCUUUGAUACUGGGGAUCUCGAGUCCGGAAGAGGUGAGUGGAACUGCGAGUGUAGAGGUGAAAUUCGUAGAUAUUCGGAAGAACACCAGUGGCGAAGGCGGCUCACUGGACCGGCAUUGACGCUGAUGUGCGAAAGCGUGGGGAGCAAACAGG